GAGCCUCCUCCUCCCCUGCGCCCAACCCUAGAGUGGGGAGCGCCUGCUCCCCAGGACAGCCGCCGCCGCCGCCUGAUGCUGCGCCCGCGCCUGCCCUCUCUCCUCGGCGUUCGUGCCGAUGCGCGCCGCGUGUCCUGCUCGCGGCACGGACGUCGGAGAUGGCCGCUUCCGCCCCGAAGCCCUAGCGCCCGCGCUAUAAGAACCGAGCCGCCAGCCGCCGCCCUUCUCCCCCGCGCAACCGCCGCUCUGCUUGCGCGCGCCCCUGCACCCUCAGCGCCGCGACACGCACACGCCCGAGCCCCGUGCGCGCCUGCCCUCUCUCCUCGGCGCGCGCCCGCAUCCACUGGCCUCGCCCUGAUGCUGCCCGCCGAGCCGCCGCCGCGACGCACCCGCGCGCCCGAGCACCCCGACGCGUCCACGCCCUCGCCGAGCAGCAGCAGAGCCGCGGCCACGGCCUCGCCCUCGGUGCCCUGCGACGCCGAGCACCGCCGCGCCGAGCUCCGUCCGGCGUCCACGGCCCCGACCUCGCCAGGAGCCGCUGACCCCCUCUUCGUCGAGCACCUGACCGCUGUGGCCGCGACACGCCUCGUCCUCGACCCCGCCGCGCCGAGCUUCGACUGCGACCUUGCCCAGGAGCCCGCGGCGUCCCCAUCCUCGCCCGCGAGCUCUCCCCCGAGCCCCGUCUUCGGCCAGCACCGCGAGCACGGCGCCCCUCCGCGUCCGCGUCCUCGACCUCGCCACGACCUCGACGCCGAGCAGGAGCUCCGCACCCCCGCCGGAGCACGACGCCACGACCACGACCGUGCCGCGCCAAGCACUGCGACCCCGACCCCGACGCAGUUCUGCGCCACCCCGCGACGUCACCCACACCCUCACCACCAGCACCGGCCUCGCCCCCAAGCCUAGGGCCGCGCGCGACGCCGGCUCCGGUCACGGCCGACCUGAAGCCCGCGGCGUCCACGUCCGCGCUCAGGAGCCGCGACCACCGAGCGCGACGUCGGGCCCGACGCGUCCCCGUCCUCGCCACGGUCACCGCGUCAAGCUCUCGUCCCUGUCUUCGCCAAGCCAAACCCCCGGUGAGCUCGCCAAGACCAAAGUUUUCCCCUUCCUGCGUUCACCAAGCUGAGACCGGCCUUCGCGCCACAUUUCAUCCAUUGUCGCAGGGAAGCUUUGGUCCUGUGGUGCUUUUGCCAAAGAUGUGAUGCCUUCUCGCUGCCAGCCGCGCCUCCAGCCGAGCCGCAGCGAGCAGAAGCCAGCCAAGAGCAACAGCAAGCCCGUAGUAGAUCUUCGUCCAAACAGCAAGGUCGAACCUUGAACCUAGCCGACAUCGUCUCCGACGUUGGCAAAACCCUUGCCGUUCAUUUCGAUAUCAUACAUGCCAUGUAUCUUGCUCAUGUAUGCAUUAUGAUCUAUCUGCAUGACCAUUUGUUCAUCUAUCCAUGUCAUGCAUUUGUUACAUGAUUAUUCAUCUCAUAUCUCGUUUAAUGCGGGACCUAUCUUCGUCUAUAUCUCUGCCUGUGCCGUGCCUUCGUGCCGGUCUAUUUAUCUAUCUCUAUCUCUUUUGGUCGCUAUGGAAAUGUGCUACUCCGAGUCGUCGUCUUGUUAGUAUUGCAAUUUGUGCUUUUGUUCUUGUCGUUGUGGACCGUGCCGUCGAGCCGGUUGAGAGAGUGACGUGUUUGGAUGUUGCGAUCGCGAGUUCGUCUCGCCACGGCCGUAAUGCCGAGCAUGUCCCUUCUCUCGUAUUUCUGUUGUUCCUUCUUUUGUUAUUUGCAUGCCUGAGGACCGAGCCUUCGAGCCGGUUAGGGAAAAUGGUGGAGCGUUCGAUCAUUUCGAUCGUGGGUUCGUCCCGCCGUGAUCGCGAUGCCGAGCGUAACUCAUUCCCUGUGAUUAGUUGACUUCGCUGCGCUACGGUCGUUAGCUCCUAUUCCCGUCCCUCGAACGUGGUCAUCGUGGACUCGAUGUCGUUAACGACGCGGUUCUUACCCGCACACUCGAGACCUAAAUGACCUAGUCUAGUGGGAUACGAAUUAGGGGACAACCUUCGUAGAACUAUCGGAGAAACUCGUUAGGUGAAGCUCAUGGCCGCGAGUCCACCUUGCCAUGGCCAUUGGGCUUUACCCCAUUUCUCCCGUGUUUAUCCUAACCACCUCGUAUGCUUGUACCACUUCGACUAUAGCAUUCCCUCGGACCUAGCGGUGACAACCACAUCGCUAUGGGCCUUAGGAAUAGCCUUGUGCUGAUUUAGAUGCACAGUCAUGGUGCCCUACGAGUGGGUUGGGAUCGUGGGGUCGUAUUCCUUUUAUCCAACCGUCGUUGUUCCAUGAUGAGUUGGUCGAAAGAGUAUGGACUCCAUUCUUCUUCUCUCUUGUUCUCAAUCCCGUCGAUCCAGUAAGAUGGGGAUUAAGCCCCUUUUGCUUGUUUGAUGUUUUGUUUCCAAUCCCGCGAUUCCCGCCGUUGCUAUGGCGAGCGGAUCAAAGGAAGGUGAAUCCCGUGUCUUUUCCCGCCUUUUUGGUUCUUCGUGCUUAAACUCUUGUAUGCUUGUACCUAUAUCGAUCGUAGCAUUUCUUUGGUUCUUGUGGUGACAACCGCACCGCAAAGAACCUUAGUGAUGUCAUAGUGCAUUUAGUGCACCUAGGUUGUGGUACCCUACAAGUGGUUUGAGUACUCGUGUUCCUUAUGUGUCACUCUUUCUAAUCCCCCGUCUCUUACCAUGGCGAGUGGAUGGGAAGAAGUAGACCACUCCCCUUUUCUUCUCUCCUUGUUCCACCCUCUCUUGGCUCUCGCCAACUACAAUGGCGUAUGGAUUGAGAGAGACCGGAACUUCGCGUGCUCAUAGUCUUUUCGAUUCCUGUCGAUCUCCGUGACGCUUGGAUCGAAGAGCCACUAGCUAUGGUGUUUGCUUAUGAUAAGUUAGGGUCUAAGCCAAUUAUUAAAGUCGUACAGGUUGACUUAGUCGACCCAGGAAGUACCGGCUAGGCUAAGACUCCAGCUUGUACUUAGUGAACAACCAUUCCCAUUUCUUUUAGCCCAAAGAUCGGACAUCCGCCGAGAGGGCUAAGCCGUUUUCCUUUCGUUGCUCUUUUAGUGUAGUUGUUCCUCAGUGUUAUGUCGUCUCUUUUUGUAGUCUUUCGAGGUCUAGUGGUUUGAUUGUUUUGCCUUGUUUGUCGCUUUCGAGGUAGUCGCUUCGAGGUUAGCGUUGAUCGGACCAGGACCAGUUGAAGGAAGAACAUGCGGAAAGGAGGAUCUUGGAUGAGUACAACUACAAGUGAACUGAGGAUCUUGGAAAUGUCACUCGACAGGUGCCACGUCCCACCCAACCUCGUAGAAUCCUAUUAGACAUGCAAUAUUACAGAUGCUAGUGCUUUACUUUUAUGCAAAUGAACUGUGAUAGGUUGCAUGGUAGAAAUGCUUGUGAGCCAUUGCCUUGUUGCAACCUAUAACCCUCGCACACCCGCUGUUAGGUUAGAUGCUUGCAUACUACUUGCUACUGCUUCUACUUCGCAUUAUAUCUGUGAUGUGAUGCAAUGUGGGAGAUUGGAUGUGAGUGGAUAAGGCACGUGGUGCCAAUAAAUGGAUAAAGAAAUGGAUAAUGGAUUUGGGGAGAUCUUGGCGUGUGUCUUGGGUGUGUGGUGAGGGUCGAGUCGACCGAACAGGAUCUACGACGAGUCUUGGGACAAGUCUUGCCGGAGGACGCUACCUGGGCGUUCUCCAUGAGAGUUACCUGUGGCGGGUACAUGUGACAGGGAGAGGUCCCGGAGUGGAGUGUCUUCGUGGGACGAAGCGCCGGGAUGGGAGGUGCUGUUUAGCACGGGGUAGCCGGAUGUCCUGUCGAGCGGGGCAUCGGUUGGCCCCUCGUGAAGAUGUCCUGUUUGGUCACCCUAAGGACUGAGAUGUUCUGUGGACCGGGUCUUAGGAAGCCUUACACGCCACUCGCCUUAUUAUGGUGCGGGACGGAUGUACGACCAGCUAGUGCGGUGCCACUACUACUAGGUUGUUAGCGGAUAGUGUAGGGAGGUACGGGCAUGAGGACCCACACCCUCCUAAGACAGCGUAGUGACCUUUGGGGCCCGGUACUACGCCUCACAGUCUCAGCAUGCCGGUGGUACUCCGGUAUGGUCCCAGUUCUGAGUGGUAGGGUGGCAUCGUAUUUAGUUGGGAGGCAGCUCGGAAUCAGCCUAGACGGGGGCCACCGUCGAUGAUGGUGAUCUUGUGGUUAGUGUAAACCUCUACAGAGUUUGGUUGAUCGAUCGAUACAUAUGCCGAUUCGUCGGCUAUGGACCUUUCCUAAGUACAGCUUCACUUGACUAGAGAGAGAGGAGUCCUUUCUACCUUCCCCUGGGUUUGUGUUGGAUCCGGCGUUGGCCGUUGAGGCAAGGCACGAGCGGGAGUCGUACUUGCCGCCUAGAGAGUGAGAGUGUGGUGAGAUGUGUGUGAUGGAUGGAUGGAUGUGUGGUUGAGAUGGAUUAAAACCUGAUGAAUUAUUAUUAUUAAAUAUUGAUGAACUUGCAUAGGGAAAACUACAGCCAUAUAUAUAUAGGCCUCUUGAUCUACCCUUUGCAUUCCACUUACCACAAAGCUACGCAAAAGCAUAGGGUGGGAGCCAGUGGCCAGUACAAAUCGUACUGAAAAUUGUUCGGCAGGUUUUGAACGUGGUCUAUGGCGAUAACUAUGGAGAAUAGAAGGAUUAGGUGGUCUCGUUCCUGCGCUCAAGUUUGGUUCGGAGAUGAAGGCUACGCCCGCUGAUAAACUACGCCGACUCUGAUGAUUGCCCGUGAAGGAGGAGACUUCACCGAUGACGCGCUAUAUCGACUCUGAUAAAGACCCGUGUGUGUUUUCGCUAGAAAAACGAUGUAAUAGGCUUGUCGACCAAGUGUUGUAAAGCAAAUGUGUUGUAAUCUUGUUUCUCACGAUGUAUGACUACGAUAACAGCUGAUAUAUGAUAAUGCGAUGGUUCAAAUUUUUGAAUUAUCACAUUAUAAUUCGAAUCUGUGGAUUUUUCGCUUUGUGGAAAAAUCUAGGUCGUUUCAGUUGGUAUCAGAGCCAUACUUGACCCUAGGACGAGACCCUUAGUACCAAACACUAGUUUAGAAGCCAAACAUUCUAUCUUUUGUAGAGUUAUAGAUGCUAACACUUGUUUUCCCCCUCCGCCUUGAAUUCUGCUGCUAACUGACCUCCCUGUUUCAUAAAGUUGACCGUUGUAAUCUUUUCCUAUACCCGCCCACGCUAGAUCGAUAGUCGUGUGAGACUUUGAAGGUCUGUGAGUCGCCUCAAGUCAACACUAUGCAUUAGGAGUUGUAAUGCUGUUUGAGUGCUUGGAUCUUAUGUUGUUGUGUUUCUUCGGCUUCUUGUUGUCUAAGUGUAGGUCAUAGAACCUGUUUUAUGCGAGAAAGACUCUGGAUCCCGUCCAACCUAGUCGGCUAAACCUAAGACCGUCCGAGACUAGAUAGGUGAUCCUGGCUAACAGAGCUGAAAAAGGGUAUAAAGCUGCUGCAUUAUGUCUUGCCCAUCUAUUUCAAAGCUGUUUUUGGCUUCCAACUAAACUUGUCUUCAAAAUUGCCCCUUAGGUUGAAAAAAAAAUUUCUCUCCUUUUUGGUUAAAAUAUUUCCCCUUUUUAACAAAAGCAUCUCUACUUCAAAUGGAAAAGUGUUUCAAAACUCUCUCGAUAUCUUCCCUUUUUACAAAUAAAGCAAUUUUAACUCCUUUCUCAACUUAAUUUUAUUCAAAAGCUAUUUAUGAAAUGAUUUAAAAAAAAGUCACCUUGAAAAAGGUAUGACAAACCAUCUUCUGAAAAACAAAAGUCUUGCUUUUUCAUGUUUCCAAACCAAAGACUUUGGCUUACUUUUGUUUUAAAGGUCUUUGAUUUUAUCUCAAGAGCCAAAUUCCUUUUUAAAAAAAAAAUCAAACUUGUCUUAAAAGAAAAAGGAAUUGCUAGUGAUUUAUUAAACAAAAACCAUUGCGAAAAGAUUUUUGUUUGCGGCCUUCCAAGAGUUUAGCAAAAACAAAAUGAACUUACAAGUUUUAAAAGAAAACGCUCUUGUUGUCAAGACUUUAUCUUUCAAAAUGAGAAAUGAUUUCUAGUCAUUUUCAAAACUAGUUUGUUUAAUUCAAAUAAAUAAAUUAAAAAAAGGGGCAACGCCUUGUAUUUGAAAGCUAAAAGAGUUUCAAAAUCUCUUGAUUUGAAAUCUUUUAUAACAAAAUCUUCAAACGAUUUGGUUUUCAAAACUUGCAUUGAUUUCAACCCCCUUCAAAAGCUCUCUUCAAUUUCAAGCCUCAAAAAAAACUGACUUUGUAAAAGCGCUCUCACUCUAUUUUUGAAACCUGUUUUUCCGAAAAACAUUCCUUUCAAAAGCUUUUUGCAAAAAGUGAUGCAUGAAAAACAGCUGUGAAAGCCAACAACCCUAGCAACCCUAAGCUCGCCAUACCCCUCCUUUGACCGGAUGCUAGUUCUUGGAAGAGUAUCAUGCCAGUAAACAAAGAGUUUUGAGCCAGAAGAGCUAGACAACUAACAAUAGUCUCAUCUUCAAGAGCCAGAUGUACAUAAACCAGAUGAGGUUCUUGGAUACCCAUCGCCUCGGUGUAAGAAUUUGGAUACCCAACACCCACGACUGAGCCUUGGAUACACCCAGAACAUGACUCACUCCCAUUUUGGAAAAGGUUUGUGGAGCGGUCAUACUGAAAGUGAAACAACUCAGAAGUAAGAAGAACUUCGGGAAUAGCACCCUUGCUUCUUCAUCGACCGGGCAACGCCUAAAAUCUCGGGGACGAGAUUCCUGUAAGGAGGGUGGACUGUAACAUCCCGGAUUUUUACGUAAACCAAAAAUACGAGCUUUUUAAAAUUUUUCCUGUAAUCGUGUGAAGCAUAUAGUUUUUAGAUCUAAAUCGAUCCUAACCCGCUAACAAAUCGUGGCAUACAUAUAGAUUUGUUUCUAGGUGAGUGCUUUUGUUCGUGAGUCGGUUUGGAGUUUAGUCUUGUUUAGGGUUUUGAGUUUCUUUUGGAGUGCACAAAUCCAUAGCAAAGUCUUCCUAAAUCUUUGUGGAGCCUACCUCAAAGGCGAAGCGAAUCCCUUCUCAACUUUUUGUUGGAGUACGUCUCAAACUCCAUCGGAUUUUAUCCGAUCUCCUUUUGUUUUCAUUCCUUGUGUUUAAUCAAAAAUGGAAAACCCCUUUCUUUUCCCUUGGGCCGAAUUUCUUUUCUUCUCCCAUUUGGCCCAACUCGCGCAGGAGCCUUGCCAAGCCCAGCAGCCGGCCCACCCGAAACCCCCGCGCCCCCCCUCCUGAACCACCUAGCUCAGCCUGGGCUCCCUUUCCUCCCCUCUCGCGUGGCCCACCUUGCCCUAGGCCCAUCCCGCGCACUAAGGCCUAGUCGGCUUCUCCUCCCCUCCCGCGUGGCCCACCUCGCCCCGGCCCAAGGCCCAGCCGCGAGCCUCCUCCUCCCCUGCGCCCAACCCUAGAGUGGGGAGCGCCUGCUCCCCAGGACAGCCGCCGCCGCCGCCUGAUGCUGCGCCCGCGCCUGCCCUCUCUCCUCGGCGUUCGUGCCGAUGCGCGCCGCGUGUCCUGCUCGCGGCACGGACGUCGGAGAUGGCCGCUUCCGCCCCGAAGCCCUAGCGCCCGCGCUAUAAGAACCGAGCCGCCAGCCGCCGCCCUUCUCCCCCGCGCAGCCGCCGCUCUGCUUGCGCGCGCCCCUGCACCCUCAGCGCCGCGACGCGCACACGCCCGAGCCCCGUGCGCGCCUGCCCUCUCUCCUCGGCGCGCGCCCGCAUCCACGGGCCUCGCCCUGAUGCUGCCCGCCGAGCCGCCGCCGCGACGCACCCGCGCGCCCGAGCACCCCGACGCGUCCACGCCCUCGCCGAGCAGCAGCAGAGCCGCGGCCACGGCCUCGCCCUCGGUGCCCUGCGACGCCGAGCACCGCCGCGCCGAGCUCCGUCCGGCGUCCAUGGCCCCGACCUCGCCAGGAGCCGCUGACCCCCUCUUCGUCGAGCACCUGACCGCCGUGGCCGCGACACGCCUCGUCCUCGACCCCGCCGCGCCGAGCUUCGACUGCGACCUUGCCCAGGAGCCCGCGGCGUCCCCAUCCUCGCCCGCGAGCUCUCCCUCGAGCCCCGUCUUCGGCCAGCACCGCGAGCACGGCGCCCCUCCGCGUCCGCGUCCUCGACCUCGCCACGACCUCGACGCCGAGCAGGAGCUCCGCACCCCCGCCGGAGCACGACGCCACGACCACGACCGUGCCGCGCCAAGCACUGCGACCCCGACCCCGACGCAGUUCUGCGCCACCCCGCGACGUCGCCCACGCCCUCACCACCAGCCCCGACCUCGCCCCCAAGCCCAGGGCCGCGCGCGACGCCGGCUCCGGUCACGGCCGACCUGAAGCCCGCGGCGUCCACGUCCGCGCUCAGGAGCCGCGACCACCGAGCGUGACGUCGGGCCCCGACGCGUCCCCGUCCUCGCCACGGUCACCGCGUCAAGCUCUCAUCCCUGUCUUCGCCAAGCCAAACCCCCGGUGAGCUCGCCAAGACCAAAGUUUUCCCCUUCCUGCGUUCACCAUGCUGAGACCGGCCUUCGCGCCACAUUUCAUCCACUGUCGCAGGGAAGCUUUGGUCCCGUGGUGCUUUUGCCAAAGAUGUGAUGCCUUCUCGCUGCCAGCCGCGCCACCAGCCGAGCCGCAGCGAGCAGAAGCCAGCCAAGAGCAGCAGCAAGCCCACAGUAGAUCUUCGUCCAAACAGCAAGGUCGAACCUUGAACCUAGCCGACAUCGUCUCCGACGUUGGCAAAACCCUUGCCGUUCAUUUCGAUAUCAUACAUGCCAUGUAUCUUGCUCAUGUAUGCAUUAUGAUCUAUCUGCAUGACCAUUUGUUCAUCUAUCCAUGUCAUGCACUUGUUACAUGAUUAUUCAUCUCAUAUCUCGUUUAAUGCGCGAUCUAUCUUCGUCUAUAUCUCUGCCUGUGCCGUGCCUUCGUGCCGGUCUAUUUAUCUAUCUCUAUCUCUUUUGGUCGCUAUGGAAAUGUGCUACUCCGAGUCGUCGUCUUGUUAGUGUUGCAAUUUGUGCUUUUGUUCUUGUCGUUGUGGACCGUGCCGUCGAGCCGGUUGAUAGAGUGACGUGUUUGGAUGUUGCGAUCGCGAGUUCGUCUCGCCAUGGCCGUAAUGCUGAGCAUGUCCCUUCUCUCGUAUUUCUGUUGUUCCUUCUUUUGUUAUUUGCAUGCCUGAGGACCGAGCCUUCGAGCCGGUUAGGGAAAAUGGUGGAGCGUUCGAUCAUUUCGAUCGUGGGUUCGUCCCGCCGUGAUCGCGAUGCCGAGCGUAACUCAUUCCCUGUGAUUAGUUGACUUCGUUGCGCUACGGUCGUUAGCUCCUAUUCCCGUCCCUCGAACGUGGUCAUCGUGGACUCGAUGUCGUUAACGACGCGGUUCUUACCCGCACACUCGAGACCUAAAUGACCUAGUCUAGUGGGAUACGAAUUAGGGGACAACCUUCGUAGAACUAUCGGAGAAACUCGUUAGGUGAAGCUCAUGGCCGCGAGUCCACCUUGCCAUGGCCAUUGGGCUUUACCCCAUUUCUCCCGUGUUUAUCCUAACCAACUCGUAUGCUUGUACCACUUCGACUAUAGCAUUCCCUCGGAC
RNAcentral lists this long non-coding RNA (9610 nucleotides) under Sorghum bicolor (sorghum). RNAcentral describes it as "long non-coding RNA (SBIC_LNC011205)". The record is from RNAcentral. Lineage: Eukaryota; Viridiplantae; Streptophyta; Magnoliopsida; Poales; Poaceae.